Molecule: ribosomal RNA, 253 nt
Filed under: uncultured bacterium
Lineage: Bacteria
Description: partial 16S ribosomal RNA
Rfam family: Bacterial small subunit ribosomal RNA
Source: RNAcentral
UACGGAGGGGGCUAGCGUUGUUCGGAAUUACUGGGCGUAAAGCGCGCGUAGGCGGACCUGUAAGUCGGGGGUGAAAGCCCGAGGCUCAACCUCGGAACUGCCUUCGAUACUGCGGGUCUCGAGUCCGGGAGAGGCGAGUGGAAUUCCUGGUGUAGCGGUGAAAUGCGCAGAUAUCAGGAGGAACACCGAUUGCGAAGGCAGCUCGCUGGAACGUUACUGACGCUGAGACGCGAAAGCGUGGGGAGCAAACAGG